AGUUUGAUCMUGGCUCAGAUUGAACGCUGGCGGCAUGCCUUACACAUGCAAGUCGAACGGUAACAGGUCUUCGGAUGCUGACGAGUGGCGAACGGGUGAGUAAUACAUCGGAACGUGCCCGAUCGUGGGGGAUAACGAGGCGAAAGCUUUGCUAAUACCGCAUACGAUCUACGGRUGAAAGCGGGGGAUCUUCGGACCUCGCGCGGACGGAGCGGCCGAUGGCAGAUUAGGUAGUUGGUGGGAUAAAAGCUUACCAAGCCGACGAUCUGUAGCUGGUCUGAGAGGAUGAUCAGCCACACUGGGACUGAGACACGGCCCAGACUCCUACGGGAGGCAGCAGUGGGGAAUUUUGGACAAUGGGCGAAAGCCUGAUCCAGCCAUGCCGCGUGCAGGAUGAAGGCCUUCGGGUUGUAAACUGCUUUUGUACGGAACGAAAAGCCUCUUUCUAAUAAAGAGGGGUCAUGACGGUACCGUAAGAAUAAGCACCGGCUAACUACGUGCCAGCAGCCGCGGUAAUACGUAGGGUGCAAGCGUUAAUCGGAAUUACUGGGCGUAAAGCGUGCGCAGGCGGUUUUGUAAGACAGAGGUGAAAUCCCCGGGCUCAACCUGGGAACUGCCUUUGUGACUGCAAGGCUGGAGUGCGGCAGAGGGGGAUGGAAUUCCGCGUGUAGCAGUGAAAUGCGUAGAUAUGCGGAGGAACACCGAUGGCGAAGGCAAUCCCCUGGGCCUGCACUGACGCUCAUGCACGAAAGCGUGGGGAGCAAACAGGAUUAGAUACCCYGGUAGU
Molecule: ribosomal RNA, 787 nt
Filed under: uncultured bacterium
Lineage: Bacteria
Description: bacterial SSU rRNA
Rfam family: Bacterial small subunit ribosomal RNA
Source: RNAcentral